AAGGGUGUAGCAAAAUAGUAUAGCAUCUCUUUUACACUGAGAAAUCAUCUGUGCAAAUCGGAUCGUCCUGAC
RNAcentral lists this transfer RNA (72 nucleotides) under Gerres erythrourus. RNAcentral's name for it is "tRNA-Val". It matches the Rfam family "tRNA". Rfam says of the family: Transfer RNA (tRNA) molecules are approximately 80 nucleotides in length. Their secondary structure includes four short double-helical elements and three loops (D, anti-codon, and T loops). The record is from RNAcentral. Lineage: Eukaryota; Metazoa; Chordata; Actinopteri; Gerreiformes; Gerreidae.